Molecule: long non-coding RNA, 231 nt
Filed under: Pelobates cultripes (western spadefoot toad)
Lineage: Eukaryota; Metazoa; Chordata; Amphibia; Anura; Pelobatidae
Source: RNAcentral
AUAUAUAUAUUUGUGUACGGGAUUAUGAAAGGGUGCGCACACUUAAAGUGAGGGUAGUUUUGAUAAACACAAGUCGGUUGUGGUGUGCCGAAACCGACAAGAGGUUAGGCCUGUAAAAAGAGGGCCCACCCGGAUAUAUUGAUAUGAAAAGAGGGUGUGGUGGGAGGGAAAUUUCUGGAAUCGACAAAGACAGGUAAGCAAGGGGUUUGCAGGGUUAUACAGGCUUUAAAU